AGGAGACCAUAGGUGGGGAGAGGGAGCAGUAGAAAGGGCAGUAUGGUGCCUGUGAUUUGCAGGAUGUCUUAGCUAGGGUUUCUAUUGCUGUGAUAAGCACCAUGACCAAAAGCAAGUUGGGGAGGAAAGGGUUUAUUCAGCUUACACUUCCAGGUAACAGCCCAUUACUGCUGUUGACAGUUUUCUCUGGGGAGAUGUGUCUGGGCUUGCAGUCCUCUCCCAGCAUAAAACUUGGUGGCAGCCUGAUUUCUCUGAACUGGAGGUCACCUUUUAAGUUGGCAGGAGCAGUAUCUAACAGGACAGCUUUCUGCUGUAGGUCUUCUUCCAUUGGAGGUUGCAGGGAUUGAACUCAGGUAGCCAGGCUUGCACAAUUGCAGACCGCCUUGAUCCUUCGGCCUCCAUGGACAAAUACGAGGCUCUCUGCUUCCUCAAGGACCAUCAGUGAAGCUGAUCUCAAAGUGGGAGCUUGACCAGUAAUGUGGAUGAACUAUAUCUGACGUGAGCCCAUCACAAAAUCGGUCCCUCUCCGUUUAUCAUCCGAACCUGAGAACGGGAGCCUUCACGUGGGUGGGCCACCAUGAACUGGGAUGACGAUCCACCCUGGAGAAGGACAGGGGAGAGGUGGCCCUGGGAAUCCAGAGGAUAUCCACCGAUUACCGUUUGGAUGCCUGGCCUCGGUGGGGAAUCAUGGCUCCUAUUUCUGUAUAACGAAAGUCUUGAGCCAGGAUCAAGAUGUGAGCUCUCAGCUGUUCCCGCUGCCAUGCCAUUGCUGUGCCUUCAUGGACUCUAACCUUCUGAAUUCCUGAGCUUCUGGCUUCUUGCUGGCAUCUUCUCCAGACAGAAACAUUGGACUUAUGCCACAAACUCCACAAGUACAUGUGACCUGAGGACAACUCCCCUCCUGGGAAGAGCACUAGACCUACACCAGUAACUCCACCUAUCCUGGAGACCCACCUAUGCCACAAAGGCCACAUGUCUUACACCUGCUUCUUCUCCAGGCUUCAGUCUCUCCUGCAGGGUGGCCAGACAAGUUACCGGAAUGGUGAAAUUUCUUCCUGGAAGACAAGCUCCUUCUUUGAUAUAGGACAUCAUGAUGUUGGCUCAAUUUCGGUAUCUUAGUGUCUGCAUGGGACCUGCAGCUGAGUGAGACAUGCUGUAAGGUGAUCCUGGCUCCACUAAAGCUCAGACUGAAAUCCCAGACUUGCUAUGCUGUCCUCAACAAGGCUGGAGAAUCCUGAGACUUCCUAUCUUCGAUAGUCUCCUAGAUGCACUGGAGGGGUACCAGGACUGCCAUACCCAGUGACUCCAACCUGCA
RNAcentral lists this long non-coding RNA (1315 nucleotides) under Cricetulus griseus (Chinese hamster). RNAcentral describes it as "lncRNA (ENSCGRG00015029742.1)". The record is from RNAcentral. Lineage: Eukaryota; Metazoa; Chordata; Mammalia; Rodentia; Cricetidae.